This 440-nucleotide ribosomal RNA is filed under the name uncultured bacterium. RNAcentral's name for it is "partial 16S ribosomal RNA". It matches the Rfam family "Bacterial small subunit ribosomal RNA", at positions 338 to 795 of the family's 1533-position model. The record is from RNAcentral.
CCUACGGGUGGCAGCAGUAGGGAAUAUUGCUCAAUGGGGGAAACCCUGAAGCAGCAACGCCGCGUGGAGGAUGAAGGUUUUCGGAUUGUAAACUCCUUUUGUUAGAGAAGAUAAUGACGGUAUCUAACGAAUAAGCACCGGCUAACUCCGUGCCAGCAGCCGCGGUAAUACGGAGGGUGCAAGCGGUACUCGGAAUCACUGGGCGUAAAGAGCGCGGAGGCGGGAUAGCAAGGCAGAUGUGAAAUCCUAUGGCUUAACCAUAGAACUGCAUUUGAAACUGUUAUUCUAGAGUAUGGGAGAGGUAGGUGGAAUUCUUGGUGUAGGGGUAAAAUGCGUAGAGAUCAAGAGGAAUACUCAUUGCGAAGGCGACCUGCUAGAACAUAACUGACGCUGAUGCGCGAAAGCGUGGGGAGCAAACAGGAUUAGAUACCCUUGUAGUC